Molecule: long non-coding RNA, 4943 nt
Filed under: Sus scrofa (pig)
Lineage: Eukaryota; Metazoa; Chordata; Mammalia; Artiodactyla; Suidae
Description: lncRNA (ENSSSCG00040020376.1)
Source: RNAcentral
GAUCUCUAGAAUCAGAAUUUCUAGCAUCUGGAAGGGGAUAGGGAACAGAAAUCUAUGAUUUAAUAAGCUUGCCAGGUCACCUUUCUGCAGAUGAAAGCAAGACCCUUUAAUAGAACAUGCAAGAAAGGAAAUGAGAAAAGAAAAGUAAUUCUACUUAUCAGAGAUUCAGCUGCAUUUAAGGUAAAACUUCAGUUAACAAGAACCAAUUAAGUGGAAUCCUAAAGACCCUUGAGUUCUUACUCUACUGUGUGUUAGCUUGGACCCUCAGGAAGUCACCUCCUAUCUAAGAUUCAGCCACCUAAUUGGUAAAAAUAAGAUAUUGGUACCUAUUUCUCAGAAUUUUUGAGACUUAAAGGGAAUGAUGUAUUUAAAUAUACUUUGUAAAGAGUAAAGUGUGGACCAAGUUAGUUGUACUUAACAUUAAAUAAUCCUUAUGGGUCAUACCAUUGAAGGCAAAUCACAAUGAAACAAGUUUACAAAAGAACGGAGGUAAUGCCAGAUACUGUAUAUUUAUUAGAUUCUUCUUGUGUGCCACACACUGAGUUAAUCAUAACACAUACAUUAUCCCAUUUAAUUCUCAGGACACCACAUUAAAGAAAUUGUAAAAUUGUACCACCACACUUUUUGAAAGAGAAAAGCAGAUGAAAAAAGUUAACCCAUUUUUGUAAGAUGCACGGAGUCCCAUGCUUGUGAUUCACACUCAGAACUAUCUUACUUUAUGUGCUUUCUUUGCCUACAUAUUUUCACUGUACAUUCUAGCAUCAUGACUUAGUCUUGAGCAAUAGUACCAUGGUUGCUGAGCAAUAAUGAUGCCAUGAGUUAUAAUAAGAUGACUCGAAAUUUAAAAAAAAAGUGUACACUAUGUUUUCAGUGGUAAAGUAGAAAAAGAUAAUGUAAAGUAUUUUUCAAAAUUGUAAGAACAUAAGAAUGUGCUAAGAGUGAUUAUAUUAAAGCCUCACAGUUAAAUUUGUGUUGUUCUAACCUAUCUUUGUUAUGCAGAUUCCCACUGCCUUAUAUAAAUAAUGUUGUACAAUGAUUCCCCUUGUGGUACAGCCGGUAAAGGAUCUGGCAUUAUCACUGCAGCAGCUCAGGUCACUGCUGUGGCUCAGGUUUGGUCCCUGGCCUGGGAACUUCCAUAGCCCACAGGUGUGGCCAGAUAAAUAAAUAAAUAGGUAAAUAAUACUAUACAACACAUUUUAUUGCUGGAGUCCCCCAGGAACCAUUGUGUGAUUUCUGAUAUAUGCACUUUGAUCCAUCAAAUAUGUAGGCAAAGGGAGUAUAUUUCCUUGGUGACUCAGCAGGUUAAGGAUCUGGGAUUGUCACUGCUGUGGCAUGGGUUUGAUCCCUGGUUCAGGAACUCCUGCAUCCUGUGUGUGUGUGUGACCAAACAACAACAACAACAAAAACCAAAUAUGCAGGUAUAAAAUAAAAGAUCAAGAAAUACCUAAACCUGUAACCUUUCAGAUGGCAAGAGCCUAAUCUUCUUAAAGCAAGUUCCCAGAGCCUGACGAUAUACGUUCUUUCUCGUUUGGUUUGAUUUCUCACUGCCGGGGAAACAAGGCUUUGGAGUAUUUUAAAUGACUUUGUUUUGUUGGAUCCACAUAACUUGCACAUGCCUUGGCUGACACUUCCCCUUCUUUAUCCUUGUGUAUAUGUUGGGAAGUGGAGAAAGUAUCUCUCCCUCUUUUCCUUAAGGAGUCUUCCCAGGCAUUGCUCCUGAGUGGUUUCUUUGUAGACUAGACACUGGAAAAAACUAAAGCAGGCAAAGGGACAAGAGAGAAGCUGAACAACAGAAAGACACAGUAACGGCUAUCAUCAUGAAAGGAGAGCCAUUGUGCCACACAACGGUCUGUGCUUUUCAGUGCACAGGGCAGAAUAGAGUGCCCCAAACCGUCCUUUGCUCACAUCCUGAACUGUGAAAAGGGUUGUCCUAGUUUCAGUCAUUUCUUUUAUUCGUCCACUCAAAGAGAGCCAAUGAAACAAAAAGCUAGGUCUAUGCAAGCUCUGCUCUCUGCAGGAACUGUGGGGGACAUGGCAUUUCCGUCCUUAUUCCUGCUAUUCUAGGACUGUUUCUGAGCCCAAGUAAGCAUUUCUCUUGGUGAGACAGACUCUCCUCGAUCACAGGAUCAUCCUCUCCAGGUUCUCAGCCUUUCUCAAGUUCAGAUGAAUACUGUGUAAUCCACUGGCCAAAUUGAUGGAACGUUAAUAAAAUGGAAGGCAAGAGUUAUCAAAGGUAUGAAGUCAGUUCUCCUUGUAGACACUGAUAGCACAACCUUUCCAUACUUGCUCUCUUUCUCUUGAUUACCUGAUAAAUUGGACACAACAUGCUGGGAGGCAAAUUUAUGGUGGAAUAGACAUUUUGAAGCCUUGUGAACUAGGGAAAUACACUUAAACUUUCUGAGUUUCAAUUUCUGAAUAUGUAAUCAGACUAAUAAAGCUUAAUGAAUGAGAGGAGGGGUUGUAAAGCUUAAGUUAGAUGACAUACUAAACUAUUUCUUUUUCAUUCAUUUCGCUAAUAAAUAUUUACUAUGCCGCAAUACUAUACAAGGCCUGGGUAUAUUAAAAUGAAAUCCUUAAAGAAAUUAUGGUUUAACACUUAAAGAUUCUAGAAAUCAGGUUCUCCGUGAACUUGGCUUGAAAUAAUAAUUAUGACUUUAGUUUUAUUUACCUUUAGUAAAAUUUAGCAUUUAGUAAAAAUCAGGAAUGUAGGCAAUAGAUCACAGUAGAACUUUGUCACAUGUAGAGACUACAGAUAUCAUAUUAGUGUGGCAAAAAAUAUCCUAUAAUAUUGUUUUUACAAAGUACUACCUCCAAAGACAAUAGUUAGUGGACUUGCUGCUAGACUUUUAAAAUUAAAGCUUUAAUAUUUUUAUUAAAUAAAAACAUAUUUAAAAUAUAUACCACAAUAUAUUUUGUUAAUAUUUUGGAAACUUUAUAUUGUUAUAAUUUGUUUUCUUUGUAAUCAUCUUAAUUUUAUUUUAUGUGUUUAAAAAUGUCGUUCUGAGGAUGGGUCUAAGGGCUUCAUCAGAUUGCAAAAGGGGUCCAUAGUUUGAAAGGGUUAAGAAUCCUAGCUUCAGAAAAAGUGGUAUUUAAGUAAGUCAACAAUUCCAAUACAUUAUAAUUAAUGUAUGGCAGCAGUAUACUUAAUGUCAUGGAAGGAAUAAUAUCACAGUCUGAAUCAGUGUGUGUGUGUGUGUGUCUGUGUGUGUCUGUGUGUGGUGGGGGAUGGUGUUGGAGAGAACAGCCCUGAGAUAUUGGUCUUGGAAGAUCUCAAUGGUAAACAAUGCUUUAGCUAAGCCUUGAAGAGAGGCUAAGAAUUAGCCAGGCCACACAGAAGGUCAGGUGGACAGUAAGAUAUGAGGGAAGGAAGAUGGACAUUGUAGAGGAGCAGGUAUAAAAGCAGGCACGUGUGAGAUGGCUCCAUGAACCUGGGCCCAAGUUCAUGUGAGAGCAUGGUUGACGAGGACAGGGAGGUCAGCAAGAGUCAGUGCAGGAGAGGACCCAGAUGCCUUGUGCAGGAGUUUGAUCAUUAUUCUAGAUGAGGUGUGGGACCACGGCAGUAUUUUUAGCAGAGGAUGCUGUCGGCAGAUUUGUGAUUUAGGACGAUCACUCUGGCUGUAUGGUGGAGGAUGGACCACUCGGUGUAGCAAUGGUGCAGGGGAGGGAGGCGGUUGGGGGAGGGACAAGGGCUGUUGUACACCUUCGGUAGCAUUCCAGGCAAGAACCAAACCAACGGGGGCCUGAAGCAUGGCCCUGACAGACGAAGGAAGGAAGGAAAGAAGGAAGGAGAAAAGAAAGAAGAGAUAGAGGGAAACAGAAGGAAAACAGUAAGGAGAAGGGAGACAGAGGAAUUGAAUCUUCAGCUAAACAGACAUUUGAAGUCAAAGUGCUUCAUUAAAUUACAAUCACAACUGUUAAUCUACCCUGAGGUGUGAUAGGAUAACCCAUGUGCCAGGUCUCAGUCAAUCAGCCAGAUGGCUACUGAUUGGUUCUUCUGAAAACUAAUCAGAACCCUUCUUCAGUGGUUCAGUUGCUAUACAAAGAUCCACAGGUCAGGUGAGCUCAGUGAACUGAACCUGUGACCAAAUAGACAUUCAAAAGGUGACAAGAAAGGCAGCACAAUUUCUUUUUUGACAGUCAGCAGUAGCUGGGUUUGUUUACAAGUUCCCGGACACUGAUAGCACACACAUAAACCCACGCUUCUGGAAUUUUGUGUUUAAGGCAGAUAAUAUAGGCUUUAUUUCAUAGUCGAUUCAGUAGCAAGGAGUUGCAGAAGCACAUCUGAGAGUAUAAAUGACCUAAAAGAAGUAAAUUAAUAUAUGCCCAUUUUAACACAGAAAAUUUUUAUGAAAAAAAAAAUCUAAAAGUAAUCAUGCAAAGUAAUAUCUGAAGGGGUCUUCAGGAGAAACCAACUGUUUUUAUGGAGCUCAAUUAUUUCAAUUUUCAGCUCUUUUUCUCUCCUGUUAUUUCCCCUUUAUAUUAAUUAUUGAUGUCAAGCAGGAGUCACCUAUUAGACAGCAUUGCAGCUAUUUUUAAGAGUUUUGAGCUUAUUGAAACUUGUUCCUUUACGUGACUGUAUUCCAGACAAAUGACAUUCUGCUUUCGUCUUGAUGAAUUCCUAAAUAAUUGAAUAAAUUUCUGAAAGAGACAAGUCUGAUUUUGGAAAAUACCAAGUCAAAGAUGCUAAGAGGGGAGUCCCUGUUCAAAAGACGUGGUUUUCCGAAUGUGUGAAUUUACAUGUAAUUCCAGAAGAGAUAUUAAUUUAAAAGACUGCCCCCCAUUCCACACCAAAGAAUCUAUUCAAAAUUCGCAAUUAGCAAAUCCAAUUUUCAAUGGAUUUGCUUUUCCAUAAAAGGAGGGGUAAGGAGAAAGGUAGAUUAUGCCAAAUAAAGCAGGAAAAGCAAAAGAAACCAUUAGCGUAAAAGUUCACAGAGCAGUGACGU